GUCUAGCAGAAAGGCUCUGUUGUGCAUUAGAGAAGAACAAAGACACAGGAGCAGCUCCUCAGGGGAGAAGAUUUGGAAUCAUUAAAAUUGCAUCAAGAGUGAGGUGGCAGGAUGGAGAACAUGCUGGAAUGUGCACUCAUGGUCUUGUGGCUUCAGCUUGGAUGGCUGCGUGGAGAAGACCGAGUGGAGCAGAGUCCUCAGACCCUGAGAACCCAGGAGGGGGGCAGUCUCAGCCUCAACUGCAGCCACACUGUCAGCAGCUUCAGAGGGCUACAGUGUUAUAGACAAGACCCCAGGAAGGGCCCUGAACUCCUCUUCCUUCUUUACUCAGCUGGGGAUGAAAAGCAGAAAGAAAGACUGAGAGCCACCUUGUUAAAGAAGGGAAGUUCUCUGCACAUCGAAGCCCCCGAACCCGAAGACUCAGCCACUUACCUCUGCACUGUGCAGACACAGUGCUCCCCAGGCACCUGCAGACUGUACCCAAACCCUGAGGCUGCGGCUCCAGAAUAAGGGCGUCUUUGCUGUUUUCCUUCCUCCCGAGCACCCAAAGCCUCUUCCCAAGUGGUCCUAUGGAGAACGAACUCUUGUGACACAGCCAGACAGCAGAGAUUACUGGGCAUUCUGUCCAGGAUCCUAGACAGUCCCCUCCGUGUGUCCAUGGAGCAGACUGCUCUUUUAAACAGCCCAGAGCUUCGCCCGUGUAGAUUCGAAAGGGAUAGUGGUGGUAUGGAGUCUUGGUUUACAGUCUUGGGCCCCUUGAAAAGAAGCCACAGGAAUGUACCUUCCUCCCUAAAAUAAUUUUUUUGGCAUUCUCUUAUAAUAAUCUGGCCACACAUCUGUAAGAGAAUCUUUCCCAUUUUAAUAUACUCUCGAAGGUCAUAUCUCCACCAGCCCAAUACUACAUUUCUCUUCUCCUUAAUAAUCAAAUUAUUUGACUGUCUAGACUUACUGUCCCCUCCUUGAACCUGACUUCUGUGAGCAUUAUUCCGUGAGAAGCUCUCACUUAAACCAGUGGCUUUGGUGGUGAUAAAGCCAAUGAUUGUUUCUCAACCUCAUCUCAUCUGAGAUUCUCACUUUUUCACCCUUUUUAAAAAUAAAAUUUCUUUUUUUUAAUCAAAAUAAUACUCUCAUUUAUUUACAAAAUCAAAUAGCACUCUCUUUUUCUUCCCACUCUUCCACAUCGUCUAUUUUUGCCUCCCCAGAGGAACCAC
Non-coding RNA from Dama dama (fallow deer), 1211 nucleotides. NCBI's taxonomy places the organism in Eukaryota, Metazoa, Chordata, Mammalia, Artiodactyla, Cervidae. The record is from the annotation of a RefSeq genome assembly.